Non-coding RNA from Dictyostelium firmibasis, 72 nucleotides. NCBI's taxonomy places the organism in Eukaryota, Evosea, Eumycetozoa, Dictyosteliales, Dictyosteliaceae. The record is from the annotation of a GenBank genome assembly.
CCGGCUUUGGCGCAAUGGUAGCGCGAUUGACUGUAGAUCAAUCGGUUGCUAGUUCGAAUCUGGCAAGCCGGA